RNAcentral lists this unclassified non-coding RNA (151 nucleotides) under soil metagenome. RNAcentral describes it as "partial internal transcribed spacer 1". The record is from RNAcentral.
GCGAGUAUGGCCCUCACGGGUCUAAUCCACCAUAAACACCUUUGUGAACCAGUCGGGGGGACUCGGCCGUGAAAGCCCAGGCGAUUAGCGGAAGGGCCCUCCUUUGCAAACCCGUUUAGAAGUCUUGAAAGUACUUUUGUAUAAUCUAGUA